UGUACUGCCCCCAUGCGGUGGUGGCAGAUUUGUGUGGAGAGGAGCGGCUUAAAACUCUGAGGAAACGUACAGAGACCGUGUCCCAGGGACAGUCGGGUGCGUAGCGGGUGCCUCAGGAAUAAAUAUUUUGAGUAGGAUAGCACUGGAAACUGGGCUGCCUUGGAAGAAUUUUUAUGCUAUUUGAGGAAACCACACGGUACCUCAGUCUACUGUCGCGAAGCAGGGUGAGGAAAAAACCAAGAAACACUCCCACGGACAAUAAAACCAACCGGUAAAAGACACGGAAACUCAACUGGCAAAGAAAGCCAGAAGAAGCUGUCAAUUCAUCUACCAGCUGAGUAAUCUCUAGAAAAAGCUUCCAGCAGGCAGUGGAUUUAAAGUUUGAGAUCAAAGUGCAGAAUCUGAGAGCUGUAUAAGAAUGGCAGCAGAAUUAUCAGAAGGGCCUUUGGUAAUGAUGCUUCCUGGUUAUCCAAAACAAGAGUACUCAUGCAGCAGGAAAGCUGGCAGGAGCCGUUCUCAUCGCUCGAGCGAGCGCAGCAGACGCACGACUUGGCACCGGGACACGAGCCUCUGCCGCGAGCCUUUGCCGCCUCAGAGAGAAUAUGGAUUUUGCGAGAAGAAGAUGGUUCUGCCUGCUACUGGGCUGCAUGAUGCUGAUUAAUCUGAUUAAUGCUGAUUUUGAAUUUCAAAAGGGGGUGCUUGCUAGGAGCAGCCCCGGGAUCAUGGAGGACAUUGAUCUCCAGUGCUGGAACACUUGCUCUUUGACAUUGAUAGAUCUCAAGGAACUCAAGAUAGAGCACAAUGUAAAUGCUUUCUGGAAUUUCAUGUUAUUCCUGCAAAAAUCCCAGCGGUCUAGACAUUAUAAUGUCUUUUUAAGCAUAGCUCAGGAUUUCUGGGACAUGUAUGUAGACUGCUUGCUUUCAAGAUCUCAUGGAAUGGGCAGAAGACAGGCGAUGCCUCCUGAUUAUCCACAGAAGAUAACAGGAGGACUGGAUUUUAUAAGACCUGAGUUUUACAUUUAAGAACACAGAAAAUACCUCAAGCAAGAUGACACCAACCUGAAAAUUUAACUCUGUCAGUAUUUAUGAGCUCAAAUAUUUCCUGUAAUAUUUUAAAAAUUGUUAUUUCUAAUUCUUUAAUAUUGAUGAAGGUUGCAUUUUCAUUGAUGUGUAAUUGUUUUAUGGCUAUUGAAUUAUCACUUCCAUCUUUCUGGGUAAUUUGUUAAUAAUUUUUUAUUUAGCAGGCAUCUUUGUAAAGCUUUUUUUUUUUUACUAUUUUAGGGCUGCACCUGCAGCAUAUAGAAGUUCCCAGACCAGGGGUUGAAUCAGAGCUACAGCUGCUGGCUACAGCCACAGCCACAGCAACUGGGGAUCUGAGCUGCAUCUGUGACCUACACCACAGCUCAUAGCAACACUGGAUCCUUAACCUACUGAGUGAGGCCAGGGAUGGAACCUGCAUCCUCAUGGAUACUAGUUGGAUUUGUAACUCUCUGAGCCACAACAGGAACUUCCAAGCAUCUUUAUUUUAAAAAAACCACCACUUAAAAUGCAAAUACAGUGUAUUUUUUAAUACAACAAUUAGUGGAGUAAAAUUGUAACCAAUUUUAUAAGGUAUCUUAUACAUAUUAUUUACUUUAAAACUGUGCCAAAACUAAUGCCAGUAUCAUCAAGUCAUAUUCAGUCUUGAUGUAGAGCACUGUGUGGUUUCUGAUAUGUGUAUAUCAUCACUAGCCUAUCUUAUGUAUUGUUUUUCUAUGCACUAAGGACCAAAAUUUUGUUUUAUGUUCUCAUUUUUAUUGUCCUCAUUUUAAAAAAGGGAAUAACAAACAAAGGCAGUAAGAAACCUCAUUUUAGUAAAGUGCAGUUUGAUAGAAUUUUUGUCUUUAAGUGUUAUCUCACUUGUUUUCUGUAUUUCCUAUUUAUAUCACACAUCUUAUUCCAGAGAGGAUAUGAAGUUUAAAGAAAUGUACCAAAUGAUAGAAUAACACGAAGUAGAUAAUGAAAUUAGGAUGAUGAGAAAUAAAGACAGGAAAGUAAUAAUAUGCAGUUAAAGAUUAGAUUAAUACUUUUAAAUGCAUGCCACAACGUUCUAUACUUUUGAUAGAGAGUAUCUGUAACUCUGGUCUGAGUUUUCUAUUUCCUAAAGUGAAGAGGGCCUCAUGAGCAGUUUCAAGAUACGCAAUGCUGAUAAGUAAAACCAAACAACAUGUUUGGGAGAAACCUAGCUUUUCCUAGGACUAAGAACCAAUAGAAACUUGUCCCGUAGUUUUCACAAUGGCUAUCAUGGUGUAUAGCAUCAUGUUUUUAAGUAUCGACAAUGACGGAUGUCUUCAAUGCAAGUUGAUACUAGCACACCCAAACUCAAUUAAAUAUAAAUAAUUUUUUUCUUUUUUCUUUUUUUUUUUUUUUUUACCUUUUCCAGGGCCACUCCUGUGGCAUAUGGAGGUUCCCAGGCUAGGGGGCUAAUUGGAGCUGUAGCCACUGGCCUUCGCCAGAGCCACAGCAACGCCAGAUCCGAGCUGCGUCUGUGACCUACACCAUAGCUCAUGGCAACACCAGAUCCUCAACCCACUGAGCAAGGCCGGGGAUCGAACUCCCAACCCCAUGGUUCCCAGUCGGAUUUGUUAACCACUGCGCCAUGACGGGAACUCCAUGGUAUAAAUAAUUUUAAAAGCAGCAAAAAUAACAUGGAACAAAACAUGCAAUUGUUGACUUGAUCCUAGAGUAAAUUUUGCAUUAAAGGAGGGUCCUGACAUUCUUUGAGUUGUGGACCACUUCGAAAUUCUAAUGCUAUAGAGGCUUUACUAAGGAUUUUAUAUGUGCACAUUCAUCCUUUUGUGUAUAAUUUUAGGGAUCCCAUGAGACCUAGAUCAAGAAGCUCCACACACUAAAGAAUGAAUGGACUGCAUAGCUUUCAUGUAUUCUUUUACAGAUAGCAUUUCAUAUAACUGAGUUUUGACAAAUAAUUGGUUGCAGAUAAUUAUAGAUCACUUAGGUUCAGAAAAUCAACUAGUUGUAGGGUAGAGCUUAUGUUCUGUUAUGAAAAUGACCAGAUACCCAAGAAGUUGCUUAAUUCAUUUCCUGCUGUAGAGGUAUAGGGUCAUGAUUUUCUUUAGUUUCUCUCUCUCUUACAACUUAAAAAGUUAAAUCCCAGGAGUUCUUGUCCUGGCUCAGUGGAAAUAAAUCUGACUAGUAUCCAUGGGGACGGACACAGUCGUUUCCUGGGCUCAGUGGGUUGCGGAUCUGGUGUUGCCAUGAGCUGUGGUGUAGGUUGCAGACAUGGCUGGGAUCUGGUGUGGCUGUGGCUGUGGCUGUGGCUGCAGCUCCGAUUUGACCCCUAGCCUAGGAACUUCCAUAUGCUGUGGUGUGGCCCUAAAAAGAAAAAAAAAAAAAAAGAAGUUAAAUCCCAUAAAGCAAUACCAUGUAAUUUUAGCCUAAAAAAUCAUUCAACCACUUGUCAUUUUUGUCAUGAAAAUUUUAUUGCAGCAAUGAUGAACCUUUUACUGUUAAUAAAAUUAAUUGCUAGACUUGCAAAAA
Molecule: non-coding RNA, 3536 nt
Organism: Sus scrofa (pig)
Lineage: Eukaryota; Metazoa; Chordata; Mammalia; Artiodactyla; Suidae
Source: RefSeq, a predicted model, not a curated record